UCGUCAUAUUGCUUUGCAUGAUCAUAUAGAGCUGGCAUGGUAUUUGUGGCAACGCCACCUUCCAUCAUGUUUUGAUACAUGUCACACUAGAUCAUUGCACAUCCUAGUACACUGCCAGAAGCAUUCUCAGAGAGUCACAUCUUCCUAUCAGUUCUCCAUAUUGAGUUGUAAGUAAAUAAAAGUGUGAUGAUCAUCCUUUUUAGAGCAUUGCCCAAGUGAGGAAAGGGUGACGAAGACUAUGAUUCCCCCACAAGUCGGGAUGAGACUCCGAAAGAAAAAUAAAUAAAAUGGGGGAGCCCAAAUGAGCCCACCAUAAAACAAUUAUG
This 326-nucleotide long non-coding RNA is filed under the name Hordeum vulgare. RNAcentral describes it as "long non-coding RNA (HVUL_LNC015214)". Lineage: Eukaryota; Viridiplantae; Streptophyta; Magnoliopsida; Poales; Poaceae. The record is from RNAcentral.